This 438-nucleotide ribosomal RNA is filed under the name uncultured bacterium. RNAcentral describes it as "bacterial SSU rRNA". It matches the Rfam family "Bacterial small subunit ribosomal RNA", at positions 74 to 507 of the family's 1533-position model. The record is from RNAcentral.
GAUAGUUUACUAUUUUGGUGGCGACCGGCGCACGGGUGCGUAACGCGUAUGCAACCUACCUUAUACUGGAGUAUAGCCCGGAGAAAUCCGGAUUAAUCCUCCAUAGCACUGAUAAUUUGCAUAAUGAAUCAGUUAAAGUUUCGGCGGUAUAAGAUGGGCAUGCGUCCUAUUAGCUAGAUGGAGAGGUAACGGCUCACCAUGGCAACGAUAGGUAGGGGGCCUGAGAGGGUGGUCCCCCACACUGGUACUGAGACACGGACCAGACUCCUACGGGAGGCAGCAGUGAGGAAUAUUGGUCAAUGGGCGAAAGCCUGAACCAGCCAUGCCGCGUGCAGGAAGAAUGUCCUAUGGAUUGUAAACUGCUUUUAUUUGGGAAUAAACCUUUCUACGUGUAGAAAGCUGAAUGUACCAAAUGAAUAAGCACCGGCUAACUCCGUG